Alligator mississippiensis (American alligator) is the source of this 467-nucleotide long non-coding RNA. RefSeq lists it as uncharacterized. The record is from RefSeq and is a predicted model, not a curated record. The transcript has 3 exons. Lineage: Eukaryota; Metazoa; Chordata; Crocodylia; Alligatoridae.
CUGAAGAGGAGGAAUGGUGGAGGCAAAUACUACCAUCCUGGGCAGCAGGAAGAAGAUGUGAACACACAGCCUGCUCUAGCACUUCCUGACUUCUGGCCUGAACCACUGCAGGCAUGUGGCUGCAUUUCCUGAAUCAAAGGUCCAAGAGGAGAACAAGUUCCAUGCAGCUGUUGCUCUCCCCUACAGCCAUGUGGGCAAAUGCUAAGCACUGACAAAAUCAGGAGCAGAAAAUGUGCUACAUCCUGUGAGGGGCUGCAAUAAAUUCUUCCUGAUGAAGAAUUUGCAGCCGUAAUGUUGGAUCUAAUGUGCAGGGUGAUAUUUUAUUGAUUCACUACCCCACACCUAUUAGUUUUGUACAAUGAAUAACAUUAUACAAUCGUCACAAGAUUGGUUGUCUAUGUCUGAAUCCUGGAUUUAAAAAAAAUGAUUCCACUAAAGUUAAAAAAAAAAAAAUGUUCCACUCUAUA